Long non-coding RNA from Cavia porcellus (domestic guinea pig), 2635 nucleotides. RefSeq lists it as uncharacterized. The transcript is spliced from 5 exons. NCBI's taxonomy places the organism in Eukaryota, Metazoa, Chordata, Mammalia, Rodentia, Caviidae. The record is from RefSeq and is a predicted model, not a curated record.
CUUCCACCUUAACGGACAGUUACCCAGUGAAAAAUACUAUUACCCUGAGGAGAUUGCCAAGCUGUGAGAAGCCCAAGGUACACGGAGGACCUUGUCAAAAUAAAAUCAGGUCAAGAAAGAAAAGAAAUGUCCUUUUUCUUGUGGAAAGGAAACAGGUUCCAGGCCUUCAUGAUCAGCAUCUACAAACUCUGUCACUUCUUUUGGUUUGAGAAGAGAGAGGGUUGGUUAUUUGCUCAGCAGGAAGAAGUUUGGAGAGGUUGAUUGUCUCUAAAAGAAAAAGCAUCUAACUUUGGAAAUUCCACCAAAAGUCAAGUUCAGAUGGAGAUCAUUUGAUGUGCCAGGGGCCAACUGACAGAUGCAGAAGAUACUUAUGAGAACACAGCGCAGAGGAAUGUUAUCAAUAUGACCAAAGGGACAAUACCAGGAAUGAAAAGUACCCCUAAGCAAGAGUUAACCAACUAAGUAGAUCAAUUGAUUGUGCCUUCUUUAUCAGCUCAUGGUUCUUCACGAGCGUUUUAUUGAAAAUAAAAAAUAAUAAUUAAAACAAAACACAAACGAACAAACAUAAAACAGCUCCAGGAUUUCCAGGAUCUUCUGACUUCACAAGAUGCCAAGAGAAUGGAGUCUCCUGAUUUUGGUCUGUGAACCUCCGAGACUGAACCAUUCUUGGACCCCUAGGAAAGGCCUGCCCCUGCUGAGUGACACUCAUUGAUUCCAGACGGUUCUCUUUGAACAGAAGAACUGCCCAGCUAAGCCCUGCCUGAACUCCUGGCCCAGAAAAUUAUGAUACAUGUAAAAUUAUUGUUGUUGUUGUUGUUUUGCUUUUUUAAGUUAUUGCUGUUUUAAGUCACUAGGUUUUGGAGUAACUAGUGUUACUACAAUAAGUAAUCCAAACCCUCUCCUCUGACCUUGUGCUGUCUGUAAAAUUAAUUUGACAACUAAUAAUUUAUAAUCUUGCAACUCAAUGUUUAUUGCUGACUUACAUUUCAAUUUAAAUAUUUCUCUGUCAUUCAAUUUGUGAGAUAAUUGUAUCUUCUGUACCAAUUAGAAUGUAUUUUUAUGUAUCUCCAAACUAUCAUAUAAAUACCAUUCCCAAGGUACUGCAUUUUAUUUACUAGAAAGUUAGUGUAAACAAAACAUUUGCUUCUUUUUUGCUAAAAUUUAUAUUGUGUCUUCAAAAGAAUUCUAUAAAAUCUUUCUCCCCCUCUCAGUAUAUAAGCUGUUCUUGAAUGAAAAAUGUAUAACAGAGUCCAGGGAAGAUAUGAAAAUUAUAAGGGAAUUUAUGUGCAUAGGUUGCCUCUUAAUGAAAAUAUUUUAUUUUUUAAUUACUAGAGAAAAACAUGUAUGAAAUAGUAAUUGGUACAAAGGUACAAAAAUAGAGGUAAGAAUUUACUAGUGAGCUGGAUGUGGUGACACACACCCAUACCAGCACACAGGAGGCUGAGUCAGGGGAAGCAUUUCAAAUUUGAGACAAGCCUGGGCUAAAAAGUGAGCUCAAGGCCAGCCUGAUCUGGGUAAUGAGACCCUAUCUCAAAAAAAAAAAAAAAAAAAAAAAAAAAAAGACUUACUAGUGGUCAUUAGUAUAAAAAAUAAAUAAACAAAAAAGGCAAAUACUGUUGUACUCUAAGAAAAUAGCUUCAUUACAUGUGUAUUAUAGCAAACCUGUAAAGUGGAUUACUAAAUGGUUUUUUUUAUCCUUUUUCCCUAACUGAUAUGUUAAGUGACCUAAUUGAUAUGUUGAACAGCACUCUCCUCUGUAAAGAAUUGCAAGAAUCUCACCUAAUUGAUAUGUUAACCAUUGUUGCCCUCUACAAACUACAGAAGUUGUGCUAAAACAAGCUAACAAGGGUUGUUAAUCACUGUUAGGCGCCUCUAUUCUCCGCUAAAGAGCUAAAGAAAACUAGAAUGGCCCACUAAUUUAUACUUGUUUAAAGUAACCUGCUUGUGUGCAGAGAGAUUUGCGUAUGAGUUUAACCCUUUACCCUGACCUUGACACAUAACCGCCGUUUUCUCUUCUGUAUGGCACCUUAUUGCCUCCCUCUCCCCUCACCUAUCUAUCUAGGCCAUAAAGAAUUUGGGUUUCUGGUGACCUCCUCCCAACCCGGUGAUGAUCUGUCAUAGAAUGAGCCUGCCCCAAAUUUUAAGAACUGUUUAGCUUCAAAGAAACUACCAGGAAAUACUAUGGCCCAAACCCCAAUCGGUGCUUUCCUUUUGUUCUGUAUGCAUCAAAUGAGUUAGAUAUCAGAUCUUUGUAAAACUUAAGUUUCAGCUUCUUGUAACUCUUGACCCCUUCGCACCCACUAGCGAAAACGAGCUGUCCUGGGAUAAUUAACUGUCCACUUUCUUCUCCAAAUAUUGCUGCAGAUGUGCCACUCUGAGAUAAUGUCAGUCUGUAGGAUGGGAGUAAUUUGAGAAACACCAGGAACUCCCGAGAUUGUCAGAGCUAAGUGGACAGCAAUAGUUUCCAGACUUGGGUCAACAAGUUUGAUGGCCCUGCAAGUUUCUUUGUUUCUCCCCCCACCCUUUUCCUCCAGCCUCUUUUUAAAGUCCUCCCUUCAGUCUCUGGGACACAGUCUCCAAAUUGGCUCCCGGAGACUGGUCGCCAGGCCUGGAAAUAAAGCCUUUGCCACCUAAA